AGAGUUGAUCAUGGCUCAGGAUGAACGCUAGCUACAGGCUAACACAUGCAAGUCGAGGGGCAGCAUAUCGAAAGCUUGCUUUGAUGAUGGCGACCGGCGCACGGGUGAGUAACGCGUAUCCAACCUUCCCUAUACUAGAGGAUAGCCCGGCGAAAGUCGGAUUAAUACUCUAUGUUGUAUUUCGAGGACAUCUGAAUAAUACCAAAGGUUUACCGGUAUAGGAUGGGGAUGCGUCUGAUUAGGUUGUUGGCGGGGUAACGGCCCACCAAGCCCACGAUCAGUAGGGGUUCUGAGAGGAAGGUCCCCCACAUUGGAACUGAGACACGGUCCAAACUCCUACGGGAGGCAGCAGUGAGGAAUAUUGGUCAAUGGACGAGAGUCUGAACCAGCCAAGUAGCGUGCCAGGAUGACGGCCCUAUGGGUUGUAAACUGCUUUUAUACAGGGAUAAAGUGCACUACGUGUAGUGUUUUGUAGGUACUGUAUGAAUAAGGACCGGCUAAUUCCGUGCCAGCCGCCGC
This 519-nucleotide ribosomal RNA is filed under the name uncultured bacterium. RNAcentral's name for it is "bacterial SSU rRNA". It matches the Rfam family "Bacterial small subunit ribosomal RNA", at positions 8 to 518 of the family's 1533-position model. The record is from RNAcentral.